RNAcentral lists this long non-coding RNA (449 nucleotides) under Bos taurus (domestic cattle). Its description in RNAcentral is "long non-coding RNA NONBTAT009740". The record is from RNAcentral. Lineage: Eukaryota; Metazoa; Chordata; Mammalia; Artiodactyla; Bovidae.
UCCAUUUUGAAUAUUCCACUUUGGCUGGUUUUACUUACGGAAAUUUCAGUUAGAGGAAUUUUUCUAAAAUGACAGAUUUAGAAGAGUCUUAAGAUUUCUGUAAAAUUUAUUAAGUCAUUUUAGAGCAAGUAAAUAGCAUAAAUAUUCAGGUAAUCAUUAGAGCUAGAAGAGACAGUAAUAUGUUUUUUAAUUUAAAACAUUGAAUAUGCAUUUAGUAUAAAAACAGCUUAAUUUAUGUGCAAGAUUUAUAUUUCUGUAUUUAAAUGAUACUUAAAGUCUACUGACUUUCCCAUGAAUCAGAACAUUUUAAGAAGUAAUAGGAAUACUUGGAAUUCUGUACAUUUAAAGAUUAUUAGAUGGAAAACUUCCAGAUAGUUUUAAGCUACUGGGAUAUAAAUAAGUACUUUAGGAAAUAAUGGUGAACCCUCUCCCCCCACCCCACCCCCCAC